Molecule: ribosomal RNA, 165 nt
Filed under: Triticum aestivum (bread wheat)
Lineage: Eukaryota; Viridiplantae; Streptophyta; Magnoliopsida; Poales; Poaceae
Description: partial small subunit ribosomal RNA
Source: RNAcentral
CUCGUUUUUGUUGUUUCUGAUGUGGAAACCGUCUUUCUAUACCCUUGGACAAUGAGUUUUGACGUAUUGGGUGUAUCCAAUUUUAUCGAAGCUUUCAUUUCCGUGCUUAUCUUAGUUGUCGGUUUAGUUUAUGCAUGACGAAAAGGAGCCUUGGAAUGGUCUUAA